This 501-nucleotide ribosomal RNA is filed under the name uncultured bacterium. RNAcentral's name for it is "partial 16S ribosomal RNA". It matches the Rfam family "Bacterial small subunit ribosomal RNA", at positions 30 to 523 of the family's 1533-position model. The record is from RNAcentral.
AUUGAACGCUGGCGGCAGGCUUAACACAUGCAAGUCGAGCGGGGGAAGGUAGCUUGCUACCGGACCUAGCGGCGGACGGGUGAGUAAUGCUUAGGAAUCUGCCUAUUAGUGGGGGACAACAUCUCGAAAGGGAUGCUAAUACCGCAUACGUCCUACGGGAGAAAGCAGGGGAUCUUCGGACCUUGCGCUAAUAGAUGAGCCUAAGUCGGAUUAGCUAGUUGGUGGGGUAAAGGCCUACCAAGGCGACGAUCUGUAGCGGGUCUGAGAGGAUGGUCCGCCACACUGGGACUGGAACACGGCCCAGACUCCUACGGGAGGCAGCAGUGGGGAAUAUUGGACAAUGGGGGGAACCCUGAGCCAGCCAUGCCGCGUGUGUGAAGAAGGCCUUAUGGUUGUAAAGCACUUUAAGCGAGGAGGAGGCUACUCUAGUUAAUACCUAGGGAUAGUGGACGUUACUCGCAGAAUAAGCACCGGCUAACUCUGUGCCAGCCGCCGCGGUAA